RNAcentral lists this unclassified non-coding RNA (237 nucleotides) under plant metagenome. RNAcentral describes it as "partial contains small subunit ribosomal RNA, internal transcribed spacer 1, and 5.8S ribosomal RNA". The record is from RNAcentral.
UUUCCGUAGGUGAACCUGCGGAAGGAUCAUUACGGAGUGAGGGUCUCUCAGGCCCGACCUCUCACCCUGUGUUUUUGUGGCCUUGUUGCUUUGGCAGGUUGGCCUCGAUGAGAGGCCGCAGGAAGCGCACCGCUUUGGGCCCUUGCCCGCAAGUAGCCCCCUUAAAUUCUUAAUAAACCUGUCGUCUGAGUCUGGAUAUAAUAAAAAAAACUUUCAACAACGGAUCUCUUGGUUCUG